CCCUAGUAUUAAGAUUAGUAUUUAAUUAGUAUUAGUGAAAUUUAAUAAUUUUGGCGGUUGAUUAAUAUUUAGAGGAGCUUGUAUUUAAUAGAAUUUACUCUUUAUAUUUUAUUAAUGAUUUAAUUUAUUCAUCUCCGUUAUUAAUUUUUAAAUGAUAAGGUUUGAGAAAAUUGUUAUUUAGAAUUUCAGGUCAAGAUGUAGUCUUUAUUAAAAGAUAUUAGCUACAUUUAUGAAAUUAGUGGAUUAUGAAAAAUUUAAGGUAGAGUUAUAGUAAAUUGAAUUUAGAUGUAAUAGUAAUUAAAAUAUUAUUGUGAAUAACUUUGAUUAAUGUA
RNAcentral lists this ribosomal RNA (332 nucleotides) under Gonyleptoides marumbiensis. RNAcentral describes it as "partial 12S ribosomal RNA". Lineage: Eukaryota; Metazoa; Arthropoda; Arachnida; Opiliones; Gonyleptidae. The record is from RNAcentral.